Molecule: long non-coding RNA, 2542 nt
Organism: Felis catus (domestic cat)
Lineage: Eukaryota; Metazoa; Chordata; Mammalia; Carnivora; Felidae
Exons: 2
Source: RefSeq, a predicted model, not a curated record
GGGCGUCCCUGGUAAUGGCGCGGGGGCUACAGCCCAAGCCAAGGGCGGCUGACAGUGUUGCACCGAUAUGGGAACACAAAAGGCCAGCCCCUUGCCUUGGGGUGGGACAAGGCCAUGUGCAGCUCAUGCUCCAGGGCUCCCAGCGGACCAGGCUGAGGCCUGAAUCCAGCACUGGCCUUUCGCAGCUUCUCCCUUGGCCUCACCCUGCUUCUCCCAUUUCUUUCCCUAUCGGCUUCUCCGAGGGCGCUCCCUCGGUUAAUCAUUUGCACAGCAAACCUGUCUCAGACUCUGCUUCUAGGAGCCCGCUCUACAGACAACCAUGGCACGGCCGAGGCAGGGGCUUCUGAGAAGGAAGGGAAGCCUUCAAUGGCUUCGGAUCCCAUCUACGCCGCCAGCUACGUGGGCAAGCCCGCAUCUCCAGCUCCGCUUGGAGAUGAGCUGGUUUGAGUUCCCGGGCCUGCCUCUGCUCCUGAAGCUGCCUUCUCUUCCCUUCCUCCCAUGACUCACUCCUCUGGUUUCUCACAGUCCUCUUAAGUUUUAGUGUUUGUGAUGGGGAAGGGCUGGACGCUGGUGGGAAAGUCGAGAGGGCCCGGGUGUAGGGUGGAGCCGUGGCCCUUUUGGGGUCCCUGUGCCUUGGAGGGCUUCCUCCUUCUGCCCCCAGCUUCACUAUGCAGCGGAGCUGGGAAAGGCACGAGCCCGAGGAGGUCUCUGUGCUACUUUUUCAGACACCGGAGCUGCGUAAAGUCUGCAGGGCAUCCGGUGGGAGCCAAGCCUUCAGGACCCCGCCGCAGGUGCCUUUCUGUGUCAGACCCUCCAGGGGAGAAGUGCGACCCGCACCGUCAGGGUGAAGACUGUAGCGGGUGCUUGUGCUCCAAAGAUGACCAUGAUCGCAAGGCCUCCCACGAGCCCAUCCCGUGACAGGGACCCGGCAAAAUGGGCAGUGCUCUGCCGGGGCAAGUCACGACUGCCGGCCAGGGCCAGGCUGCAGGGCGAGAGCCACGGAGCGCUGUCUCUGAACGCUUGACCUCCCCCUUCCGUGGUGAGUGGGGGUGGGUGUGCAGGGUCGGGGGCGUAGUGGGCAGAGCCAUGGUCCCUUAGCUCAGGGGUUGCCGACUCCAAUGCUUACAGGGGCCAGGCAGGUGCUGGAAUGAAGUCAGGCAAGUGGGGUCUGUGGCAAACCAGAGGGCUCCUGCCAGUGUCAAGGAGGGUGGGCGAUGUGCCAAGAACUUGUUCUCAGGGCCCCCUGAAGUUCCCCGGGAUGGGGUGUAAUUCAUAGGACAAACGUUUGGCAGAGAGGAGCAAAGCACAGGAACCGAGGGAGCUGGGGCGAACACAGGGAGGUGUAGGGUUAGUCCUGCAUCAGGGGUCUCGGCUGGCUGCUUCCAGAAUUUCCCGGAAGCCCUGGGCCCCAAGCCAUCCCUCCCCCGGCCUGCCCACGUUCCCCUCCGCCGACGGGUUUCCCACACUGCCUGUGACAGCAGCUAUGGUUCCCACCAGCAAAUGCAGGCGUGUGCCAGGGCCUCUCACGGCCUGGCUCCAGUCCAAGCGGCAGCACCCGGCCGGCUUCAGGGACAAAGGUGUGCGUUACCUCACUGCACCCUGGGGCCGGGGGCUCCACUCUCCGCUGCUGCCGCCAGUCUGCCUGAGCCACACUGGCCUCGGCCUCGGAGGAGGGGGUCUCUGACACCUGGCUCCAGGCCCUGGGCUUUGGGAGGGCCUCUGGGCUGCCGGAAACAGGCUGGGAUUCCUGCUGAAGAGACCCCCCAGCCCGUGAGCCACCCAGCCAGAGUGUUUUCCAGGGCCCUGCCUACGCGACUGGAACACUGCCUCCUGCCCUCUUCGUGGGGCCUCCUCUCACUGAAGAUCAAGGGCCUCCAGGGCCGGAAGCGGGCCGCUGGGAGGCUCCUGGCCAGCCUGGCAUAAAUCUCCCCCUCCUCCCAUUCCCUGGAAGGGUGCAGCUGGGCUGUGAUGCCCAGCUCCAAAAUGCUGGCAACUCCACUUAGGAAGGAUACGCUGACUUCUCCCAUGAGUUCCCACGGCACUCCUUACACACACACACACACACACACACACACACACACACACCAGGGAGCCAGAGUCAACAGGCUCAAGAGAAGGAAAGGAAAAGGAAAAGGAGCAUCCUGGAGAUAACUGGAGGCCGUGGUCCUGGCAACACCCACAUUGCCCUCUCCCAACUCCUACUGUCACUGUCCUGCAGCCUGGUCUGACUCAAGGGGCGGAAGCUGGCCUCCGGGACCCCUGGGAGGCAGAAAGCUGUGGAAGCUAGCCCGAAGCCUCAGAUUCGCUUCUACACACGGGGAACCGUUGUUCCUCACAGCAAAGCCGCUCAGGGCAGGCCUAAAUGAAGCAGCCAGGACGGGCCCCACCGGACAGAGAACCACUCACUGUCUGACCUGAAGACCUAAGGAGAAGCCAUCCGAGCCUGGCUCAGGCCACGGGAAAACUGAGGGGGUGGGGGGCACCAUCUCUUUUGUGCAGACUCUGGUCCUAAGUGUUAAAAAUAACAGGUUGGGAGAUAAGA